GGGCCAGAACAGAACCUGAGAUUGGCCCCUGGACCAGUACAAGUGGCCAAACUGUGUGCAGAGAGUAUUGAAACUACACCAGUUACUCCCUACUUACCACCUCCUGACCUCACUUGGAGUUUUCCCCUUCAGCCUCUUCCUGCAGCAUAUAGGUCUAUUAAAUGACUUUUUUACAUCAUACUCACCAAGUGGGUCUGAGCUCUGCUUAGCUCACUAACGGUUAAUGCUUGCCAACCAUUUUCUCCAACCAAGAGAGCCACUCUCUCAUGGAGAAACUCCUUAUCAGCCUGCCAGCUUGUGAACUCCUCAGCAUUUGAUCUGCUGCAGACAGGGAGCUGCUGAAAUCAAUAGCUGAAUUGAUCGAGUGGCAACUGGAGAGCCUGUGCCUGCCUGGGCUAACGCGGCUGGGAGAUGAAGUCGGGGACUGAAAUGCUUUCAGAAGAGUUCGGAGCUUCAGACAGGAGAUUUUCUGUGGACUAGAGAUUUUAGAUGUCCUCAUACGAACUCUGAUGUAGCCAACUCACCCCCAAAUCAGUCUUUUCAUCCUGUAAACAUGGGGCUCAAAGUUCUCGCUGUGACUGAGCUCCCAGGAAGGACCUGGAGGAGCUGCCUUUGGUGCUUCCAGGGUUGUGUUCUCCAUGAGGUGAGACAUUGGGUCCCUGCGGUACAGACCAGUGCAGCUACUGGUUCCUUUCACAGCGAGUCUCCUUGGGGGGACAGGGAAGAGCAAGGAGCUCAGAGCCACACUGGGUUGUCCUACCAGAGCCACCACGACCCUCUGCUCUCCUGGCCACGAGGACAGCCAGCUCUCAUCACUGCAGCUCUCCAAAUCUUCCCAAUGCCAGUGUGACACUUUCACCCUCUGGGCUUUCAGAAGGAGCCCUGAAAACAAGCACUCUCAGCCCAGGGUUUUUUUGUGUGCCAAAAUUGUGACCUGGUGUGUGGGCCACAGGAGGUGUUCUUGGAAACUGGCUGUUUCUAGUCUCCAUGGCCUUGUCUUCCAGCAAUGCUGCUGCCUGAGGAGCCAGCCCCAUCCUGACCCACCUGGUCCUGGACCCUUCCCAGCCUGGGC
Molecule: long non-coding RNA, 1072 nt
Organism: Calidris pugnax (ruff)
Lineage: Eukaryota; Metazoa; Chordata; Aves; Charadriiformes; Scolopacidae
Exons: 3
Source: RefSeq, a predicted model, not a curated record